CCUACGGGUGACAGCAGUGGGGGAUAUUGCACAAUGGGGGAAACCCUGAUGCAGCGACGCCGCGUGGGUGAAGGAGCGUUUCGGCGCGUAAAGCCCUAUCGGCAGGGAAGAAGAUGACGGUAUCUGACCAAGAAGCACCGGCUAACUACGUGCCAGCAGCCGCGGUAAUACGGAGGGGGCAAGCGUUACCCGGAUUUACUGGGCGUAAAGGGGGCGCAGACGGCAAUGCAAGCCAGGUGUGAAAGCCCAGGGCCUAACCCCGGGACUGCUCUUGAAACUGCUUGGCUGGAGUACAGGAGAGGCAGGCGGAAUUCCUGGUGUAGCGGUGAAAUGCGUAGAUAUUAGGAGGAACACUGGUGGCGAAGGCGGCCUGCUAGACUGUGACUGACGUUGAGGCCCGAAGGCGUGGGGAGCAAACAGGAUUAGAUACCCCAGUAGUC
RNAcentral lists this ribosomal RNA (440 nucleotides) under uncultured bacterium. Its description in RNAcentral is "partial 16S ribosomal RNA". It matches the Rfam family "Bacterial small subunit ribosomal RNA", at positions 338 to 795 of the family's 1533-position model. The record is from RNAcentral.